AUGACUUUGAUCUCCGUCCUCAUCUGGACUCUCCUCUGCUGCUGCUUCACAGAGUCCAGAGGCCAGGUCACAGUGACUCAGCCUGGAGCAGUGAGCUCUGCUCUGGGAGGCUCCGUCUCCAUCAGCUGUAGGACCAGUCAGAGUAUUUCUUCUAACUAUUUAGCCUGGUACCAACAGAGAGAUGGAGAAACUCCUAAACUGCUCAUUAAAUAUAUUAGCACUCGACAAUCAGGGAUUCCAGAUCGUUUUACAGGCAGUGGAUCAAACUCUGACUUCACUCUGACCAUCAGUGGAGUCCAGACUGAAGAUGCAGCAGUUUACUACUGUCAGAGUCUUCAUCUCAUCAACAGCCAGUGGGUGUCCACACAGUGAAAAAGCGUCGUACAA
Non-coding RNA from Perca flavescens (yellow perch), 387 nucleotides. The record is from the annotation of a RefSeq genome assembly. NCBI's taxonomy places the organism in Eukaryota, Metazoa, Chordata, Actinopteri, Perciformes, Percidae.